RNAcentral lists this long non-coding RNA (10947 nucleotides) under Mytilus galloprovincialis (Mediterranean mussel). Lineage: Eukaryota; Metazoa; Mollusca; Bivalvia; Mytilida; Mytilidae. The record is from RNAcentral.
UAAACACGGGUGUAUCAAGUGAUCAGCUUCCAUAAUUUUGUAUCAAUUUGAAAGCUAUCUAGCAAAGCUUAAAGUAAGUACAUAUAUACCAGUUUUACAAUACAUAUAGGCUAUACAUUAUAAGAUAACUCAUUAUUCAUAAAAGCGCAUGUAUUAAGGUCACUUUCACGAUGACACAGAAGCAAAGGUUCAAAUACUGCUAAGGGAAGAACAAAAUUUUGCGAACGAAAAUUAACAGAUCUAAGGGACGACAUCUAAAGUUCAAUGUGAGAUAAAAAAAAAAAAAAACUUAAUUCAUUUAGUUUUUUCACUGACCCCCUAAUACCCCUCUUAACUUAAUUUGGGAAAAAUUGAUUGACCAAUACGGAUAUAUAUAAUAUCGAUGUCAAUUAAACAAAACUUGCGGCAAUGUUGACCCCCCCCCUCCCCAAACUAUUUGAAUUAAGCUUUUUAUCCUUCAUUGAUUUUUUGAUGUCGUCCCUAACUUUGUUGAGCUAAAUUUGAGUCGAAUUUUAUAAAAUUUAAAUGCAUAUUAUGGUUUAAGCCUAGUAUUACAGACCUACGGGUCAUUAAAUGGAGAAAGUCUGUCAAUGUUUAGACGUAUAUUUCUAUAUGUACACACAUAUAUAUAUAUAUAUAUACAACUCGUCUAAACCUCAGCCCAACAAUGUAAGAUUUGUAAUUUGCUUUCGAAAAUUGUUUGUUCUUUCCUCGCAAGGAUUCGAUCUCAUGCUACUGAGAUAUCGUGACACACAAUCGCCUGUAUUAUAUCUGCUAGACCACUCGACCACCUUGGCUUCACAAUAAUAAAGGUUUUGGUGGCCGGGUGUUACCGUUCCUCGUCAGUUUCAAUCUAGCGUCGUAAUAUAUAUACAUGUAUAUAUAUAAAUAUAAAGUGCCUAGAAAAUCAACCUAACGAUGAUAGAGUAGAUUUGAUUCGUAUACUAUUAUAUAUAUAUAUAUUAUAAAAAAAAUAUAAAUAUAAUUUGAUGUAACGGCAUGGCUAAUUACAUUAUUAUCAUUUAAGAAAUGGCUGAUCUGAAAGGUUUACCAUCCGACUUGCCUCUCUAUACCUUUGUAAUUUGGUUUGUGAAAAUAAAUAUAUAUAUAUAUAUAUAUAUAUAUUGCCGUUAUACAUCAUGUUCUGCAAUACCGCCCUGAGCAUGCUGAGGAAAGCCAUAAUUCGACUAACAAAAUCUAUAAUAUUUUAGCCUCGUUGGUCGAGUGGCAUAGAGCAAUGGACACAGGACAGUGUUAUGUUUAUGUUCUUAGUUAGUCUAUAAUUAUUUUUGUUUAUGUCGUACGAUUGUCUCACUGGCGAAUAUUCUUUUCCUUUUUAUAAUGUAUGUUAUUAGUUGAGUAUUCCUACAAGUAAAUACCUGUAAUAAAAGAGAUAUUUAACCUCUUAAAUAUAUAUUACAAUCACUAUAUAUAAUUACUUUUGCGCCCUAUUUCACUCAAUUUAAAGAGAUAUUUAAAUCACAUUUCAAGUUAUUAUAAGAAAAUUAUAAGUGUCAAAUCACCUGAAUGACAUUAAAAUAUUUAAAAACUUGUGAAAAGAGAUAAUUUCUGUUCUGUAUCAGUAGCGAUUAAUUGUGAGUUACGAUAUACUUUCCUAUAUGGUCCACAAGUACACAGUUAUGCAUUUCUUUAAGGCAAUAAAUGAAAAUUUAAAAAAUCCCACCUGCGCUUUCUCAAUAAUAUUUUCACAGUGUGUUUUACUACUUUUUGGACAAAUUAUAUCAAAAUUAUAGAACACUUCAUCGGCUCUAACUCAAAAUAUACACAAUUUUGUGUUAAGGGGGCCUCGAAAUCUUCUGAAAGCUUCCGAAGUGGUAAUUGUUAACCCUUAUCAGCUGUACCAAAUCACAGUGACUACUUAACUUUUUUAACGCAUGACUCAAUUUUUUUAUAGUGUCACUUCACCACCCCCCCCCUACUUGCUAUUUGAGUCAUAAAACAUUGAGAAAUAAAUUUGGAAGGUAUAAAAAAAAUGCCAUGAAUAAAAGAGUCAGAUCAGCAAGUCUUGUAAAAGCAGCUUAUUUUCAUAUUUAGAAUAUGGAACACACUCUCUAAAUAUUGACUAUUUUGACAAAAAUAUCAAAAUUAGUUGAUUUAUCAUUUACAGUCGUAUAAAAUUGCACAUUACUAUCUAACCGACAUUCAAGUACAAAACUAGGACUGUUUGACCCUACCUAUAUAUCUAGCUUAGAACAGAAAUAAUCAGUUUUAAUGAUGACUAUAUUUCAUGGUCCAAAAUUUAUUUUAUCUGUUUCCGUGUCAAAUUACACACACUUUAGUCUUUAAAUAAUAAAUUUUAUAAUAAAUGAAGGAAAACUGUACUUUUUAAUGAAUAUUGAGGGGCAGAUUUUUUAUUCCCUAUAUUAGACAUUAAUUUUAAUUCCUUUCUCAUUUAUUCUUAUUACAAAAUUUCAUUUGCUUUUUCUUUCGAAUUCUUGUAGCCCCCUUUUUAAGUUAAUGGUUAAUGGAAUAAUAUUAGUAUAAUAGUCCCAGACUGGACAUGUUUUGAAGAUUGCAAUUUUUAACAUUCAUAUACAUGUAUGACCUUAGUUUUUUCAUAAAACCUAAAGUUAUAUGCUGUCAGAUGCAGAUCACUACACAUGUCAAUUUUUUUUUUAAACUAGCUACUUAAUUUACACUAUAUAUAUGAAUUCACUAGUCCAAUUUUUGAAGAAAAAAAAGUUAUGUUCUAUAUAUAUACAUACAAAAUUGUAAUUAUUUUAUAUAUAAGAUUAUUUAAAACUUACCAAAAGAUAAAAUACUAUUGAAAUUAACAUAUCUUCUGAUAGAAAUUUCACUGCUUACUUCUCAUAUCUCCUAGCUGUCAGUCCUGGCUGCCACCUCAUGUUAUGACUGUCAUGAUAAUCAGCAACAAAAAACCUAAAGAAAAUAAUUUUCUAUCAUCAGAAUCAGCACUAUAUUAACAUACAGCUAGCCAAUAAAAGAGGGGUGCUGAUUAUGUUUCCCCUCUGCACUUUUAUGUGCCUUUACCUUUAGCCUACACAUGCAUGUCUCAAAGGAAAAAAAAUAUUUUAACCUUGCACUGAAAUUUGUUUUAUUUCAGACAGAGACACCAAAAUAACAUAAAUUCAACAAAAACACAAAAAUUAAAAAUAUAUAAUUAUUUAAUAUAUGGUAAGUGUUAUAUAACAGUAUUAUAUAUGCCUGGUUUUCUGUAAAUUAGCCAUCUGUCAACAGUGGAUGAUCAAUGGAACCAAUAAAUUGAAUGUACAUUACAUUGUAAAGAAAAUGGGUGAUUAUACAUGUAUAUUUUUGUAAAUAUAUACAUAAUUAUGAUUCUGGCAUUUGAUCAUUCCUAUCAGUAUUUACAGCCUAUUAUCUAUCUAUGUCUAUCUUCCCGUCAAUCAGUCCUGGCACCUCAUGUUAUGACAUUGGUUUAGAAAUAAGACAGACAAAAAUAUAUAAUUAGGUUUUAAAACCUGUGAGGUAUAUUUUUGUCUUUCCUUAACAUACAUGUACAAUUGAAUAAUGACACCAUAAUUUCAUAGGCAACCUUUGCUUGCUUUCUCACUUGAUUCUUAGCCAUGCAAAUCCUUGAUCAUGCUAAAGAGCUAAAUUGCUAAUGCAGUGGGGUUUUUUUGUGGGGGGAUGAUGGGGUACCAUUGCUAUAUCCAGCAAACACUAUUUCCUGUCCAUACGAAUAAAGUUAUGUAUGCCACAGUGAUAGUAUGGUACCACAGCUAGAAGUAUGAUACUUUUUUUGAAGUACCCUCCCCCUUUUUUUUAAUUUCUGGUAUUUCUGUUUCAAGAAACGGCAAUUUUGUAUAUACAGUGGAGAUCACUUCUAACCUCUCAUUAGAACUGUCAGAAUAUUCUGUAAUAGAACUGUUCUAACCUGUCUAGAACAGUUCUACCUAGAACAGUUCUACCCUAGAACUGUUCCAAAUAGAACUGUCAGAAUCAGUUCUAGGUAGAACUAUCAGGAUCAGUUCUAGGGUAGAACUGUCUAAAUCAGUUCUAGGUAGAACUGUCCAAAUCACUUCUAACCGUAGAACUGUCAGCAGAACUGACUAAAUCAGUCAGGACUGUAGAACAGUUCUAAAUGACGUCACUGCAGUAAGGGCACUUUAGAAUUUAAAAGAAAUAAAUCACUUCCAAUUACUUUGCUAUAUAUAAUAGCAGAUUUUCUAUAUUUUUUACUGAUCAAACGUUCCAUGUACAAAUAUCGAAGUGAAUAGAAGGUUAUCCAACUCAUCGGAGAAAUAUUUUUAUAAGAUUGCAUACGGAAACAUCAUUGUUUACGUUUCUUCGUUCCCCGUUUUUAACAGUCUCUUCCUAAAUAUAACUCUACAUUUAAUUCAUGGAAUUUUAAUCGUAAUUUACCUUGUUUGCCUUGGAUUUACAUUCAUUUAAGAUUCUGUAUUGACAAAUGUUCAAACGAAAAUUGUACAGUGGAUGAAUUAUGGGAUAUUAAUGAAAAAAGUGUUGUAUAACUUAAAAAAACUAUAUACAUUUGCACCAUCUCGUCAAUUUAGCCAGACUUAUCCAUAACGAUUAUAAAUGAUAUCUGGGAGUCUGGAACUCAGAAAAAUAUACUCGAUCUGAACAUGAAUGAAACAUUUGCCCCUGGACGUUCGGCUACAAACAAAGUCAUGCAUUUUUCUUUGCCUUCUUCAAAUUAUAUUAACAGUAUACUAUUCCAAGAAGAGAACUUCCCAUACAUGUACUUUUUAUUUUUGAAAUAAAGUAUAUGAAUCAGUCAUGUGAGUGUUGGAUGAUGUCGUUUAAUAGUUUUGUUAAAAAAAACACAUCACAAACUACUGACUUAAACAUGUUGUAAAGUCACUUUACACCUUAUCGCUAUUUGUCCGCAUUACUGGAUAUCACACAGGUUCCCGUAAAUUUUUGACGUCACAAAACCAAAUAUCUGAUGCCAUAAUGGAAAAAUGAUUGUUGUAUGCAUCAAAAGUUCAAGCGGCCGGGUCAGCCUGGGAUUAACGAUAAGGUGUAUUAUUAUGGGUACAGAGAGGAAAUAAAGGCGCGCUAAAUUCUUAGAUAUGGUAUAAAUACACCUUGACGCUAUUUGUCUGCCAUUACUGGAUAUCACACAGGUUCCCGUAAAAUUUUGACGUCAUAAAACAAAAUAUCUGACGCCACAAUGGAAAAGUGACUGUUGUAUGCUUCAAAAGUUCAGGAGGCCGGGUCAGCCAGGAUUAGCGAUAAGGUGUAUUGUGUUUCAAAGUUGGUGUCAUUUUUAUCAUACGAUCCGUCCUCACAUAGAAAUAUUAUUGGUUUACAAUGAGGCCAUAUAUAUUUACAUGAUCAAGUAAAAGUGUAAAUAAGUUCAGUUUUGGUUGAUGCGGUCAAAUAAUUUUGUUGAAACGACUCAGUCUGAUAUAUCGAAACUACUGAAAUUUGUUUACAAUUCAAUAUUUUAAAUAAAAAGAGGACUUGGUGAUACUCUAAAUUGAUGUGGAAAUUUUUUUGUAGCCAAUGUGUUCCAAUAUUCAUUGAUAUUGCUGUCAUUUGAAUUAUACAAUCCAUCGUAAUGUAUUACUAUAAGUGAUUAAGUAUUCGGCUAUAUAUAUAUCAAGAUUUACAUAACAAAGUGUAAAUAUGGUUAGUUUUGGUUGAUGCUAUCACAUAUGGUCAGUUUUGGUUGAUGCUGUCAAAUGUGGUCAGUUUUUGGUUGAUGCGGACGAAUAAUUUUGUUAUAUUCAUGAGUCAGUCUGAGAUAUCAAAACUACUGAAAUUAGUUUACGAUUCAAAAUUUUGAUUAAAAAGAGGACAUACUGGCACUAUAAACUGAUGUGAGCAUAAUUUUGUUUUCCAAUAUUGCUUUCAUUUAUAUUAAACAAUCCACCUGAUAUAAAAAUAUAAGUGAUUUACUUUGCGGCUAUUAAGAUUGACAUGAUGUACAUAAUAAAGUGCAAAUAUGGUCAGUUUUGGUUGAUGCGGGCAAAUUAUUUUGUUAUACCAGUCAGUCUGAGGUAUGAAAACUACUGAUAUUUGUUUAUGAUGCAAUAUUUUGAAUAACAAGAGGUCUUGCUGGCAUUCUAAAUUGAUGCAAAUGAAAUUAGGUAGCAUUGUGUUCCAAUAUUUCUAUCAUUUGUAUUUUCAUGAUUUUACAAUCCAUCCUUACAUAAAAAUAUUACAGAUUUACUACAUGUACUAUGCGACUAUAAGAGUUACAUAAAAAAGAGCAAAUAUGGUCAGUUUUGGUUGAUGUGGUCAAAUAUGGUCAGUUUUGGUUGAUGCUGUCAAAUAUGGUCAGUUUUGAUUGAUGCAGAUAAAUAAUUUUGUUACAUGAGUCAGUCUGAGGUAUGAAAACUACUGAUAUUUGUUUCUGAUGCGAUAUUUUGAAUAAAAAUAGGAAAUGCUGGUACUCUCAAUUGAUGCGAGAAAAAAAAAUUGUGGUCAUUUAUUUCCAAUAUUGUAGUUAUUUAUAUACUACAGUCCCUGUUGACCUAAAAUUAUAACUGAAUUACUGUGCAGCUAUUUUAUAGAUUUACAUAAAAAAAGCAAAUAUGGAAAGUUUUGGUUGAUGCGGUCAAAAGAUUUUAUUACACGACUCAGUCUGAAGUAUGAAAACUACUGAUAUUUGUUUAUGAUUCAAUAUUUUGAAUAAAAAGAGGACAUGCUUAUUGGCGGAUCAAGGGGGAGGGGGUCCAGGAGUUGGAGCCCCCUUUUUUUUUACGAUCAAUGCAUUUGAAUGGGAGCAUAUAGUUGAAACUCCCACCCCCUUUUUAUAAUGGCUGGAUCUGCCCCUGCUUGCUGGCACUAUAAAUUGAUGCGAACAAAAUUGUUUUCCAAUAUUGCUGUAACUUGUAUAGUACAGUCCCUCUUGACCUAAAAUUAAAACUGAAGUACUGUGCUGCUAUAUAGAUUUGCAGAAAGAAAGAGCAAAUAAUAUCAAUUAAGAUUGAUGUGGUCAAAAGAUUUUUGUUAAUCAGGUCCGUCCGAGGUAUGAAAACUACUCGUAAACAGAAAUUACAUUUGGUUAAUUAGGUCAGAUAAUUUUGUUAUGUGAUAACGAGCCAUCCUGACUCCCGGAAUAACAAAAAUUUAAUGUAAAACAAUAUAAAUAAUACCCCCCCCCCCCCCAUAAUACUAACGGCCUAAUUUAUGAUCACUGAAUUACGGGCUCCUGACUUGGAACAGGCACAUACAUGCAGAAUAUGGCGGGGUUAAACAUGUUCUCUUGCCGAUUAUAAAUCUGAAAUAAAACCGGCAAAAUAGUAAAACUCUAUAUAAUAGUAAUCGCUAUUUUGCCGAAGCCUUUAUAUUUAGACAAAGAUUUCUUAAAAGUUAUAAAUCAAUUCUAGCCGUAGAAUUUAUAAAUCAAUUCUAGCCGUAGAAUUUGAUAUCAAUUCUAACGUAGAACUGUUCUAGAAGUAGAACUGACUAAAACUGUUCUAGGGUAGAACUGUCAGGAUCAGUUCUAGCUAGAACUGUCUAAAUCAGUUCUAGGUAGAACUGACCAAAUCAGUUCUAGCUAGAACAGUUCUAACCUAGAACGGACUAAAAGGUGUCAGGCUGACAGUUCUACAUACUGUUCUAGAACAGUUCUCCUGACAGAAUUUAUGAAAGGUUAGAACUGAUCUCCACUGUAGUCCACCGGCGAUCAGACCUUACAUCUAUGCAAUUGAUUUCUUUAAUAUACAAUGAUUUAAAACAGUUGUUUCGUUUAAUAUAAGUAAAAGUCAUACCUGCAUGUUUGUACGCUGGCGGCCGUCAACUUGGAAAACGUAAACAAAGUAGUUCGCAUGUACGCACUUUCAACAGAAUGGUCAAACGGCUACAAAUUGUCUUCGGUUUUAAAAUGAACCAGUAAAGUUAAUACAAAAACAUGUUUGAAAUAGAUGUUUAUGCAAUUAACGAAAAAAUGUAUGCAUGCGCUGCGGAUGUCUACGUUCUGCAAGAUCUUUCACAUGUGAGUACGGCUGAAGGCAAGGAUGUUAAACGUAGGACUUCGGGAAUGUUCGGAGAGCCGACAACCUUGCUUCGGAAUUUGGAAGAACACCUUGACCAGUUUGAAAACGGAUGUUGACAACUUGUGUGUAUUACUCAGGCGCUUCCGGUUGUCCUACUGUAUGCUAGGAAAUACUGCAACUGGACGUCAUAGAUCAAACGUUAGCGUCAUUCGAUUCAUGACGUAACGCCAGGUAUGCGAUACGGGUUUUGCCAUGCGAUACAGGGAAGGCGAUACAGACUUAAAAAAAGAACCUUUAUCAGAUAUACAAAAUUACUGUAUUUUGUACUAAAUAUAUGAUAAAUCUAAAAAAAAAAAAAACAGGAUACGGACCUUUCACUGUUUAAUUUCCUUUAUGUGUAAACUAUCAAUUUAUAAACGUCUAUAUCAACUAUAAAUCUUUUACAAAACCUCAGUUUCUAAAUUGUAUUGCCAGACUAUUUGCUUGGUAUUAAAUGAAGAUUCAAGUAGGUAUAAAGUUUAACAAUUUAAUAAACGAUCCAACAAGAAUAUAAAAGAUGUUACAAUAUUGAGUCCGGUGUUAACGGUUAAAGAACCUUUCCAAAACUAAACAUAAAUUAUUUUUAAGAAGUGUAUAUAAAACAGAAUAAUAAAGAAAUACAUGUAACUACGGAUUAAGCAAAAUUAUUAUUGUCCAUUGUUAUUAUCUGAUAACAACUGUCUUUGUCACGUAGAUACGAAGUCCAUUAUCGGAUUAGUAGAAACAUACAUCUUUAACCAAAAGAUAAUUGUGUGGGAAUAUUUGACCUAAUAAUGGCAAUUAAAAGAUAUAAUAGUUAAAGUCAGAAAGAUCAUAGUCCAAAUAAUUCACAUGCUUUUCAUCCGGUCAUACAAUGUAGUUAUAUCGAAAGCUACAUAACAUAGACACGAAACUUUAUUUUCUACUUUCUGUAAGUUGUGUUUUUAUAUUUUGUAUAUAGAUUGCAUAUUACCAAAAAAAAAAAAAAUUGAGGAACAAAUCAUGGUAACAAAUGAUAAACAAAUCGUAUGAUUUCUUUGUGAUUUGAAAGUGAUAAAAUUUCACAUGCAAAUGAGCUAACAAAUCACAUAAAAACAGAAACAAAUUGCUUACAAAUCAUACAAUUUAAAGACAUCACAAAGAAAUCAGUUUAAGGGAAUUUGGAAAAUUCUGAUUUGUUUAUAAUUUGUUUAAUGAAUCGCAAGCAAAUGGUACUAACAAAUCGCAGAAUCACGAUUUGAUAGAGAUUGGAAUACGAAUUGACAGCAAUUUGUUCAUUUAUUUUAAUUUCUGUUUGGGUAGUUCAUAAAUUAGGGUUUGGAAAGCGACUUUUCCGCAGGAUUUCACUUUGUUUACAAAAUUGUUUGAGCAUUUUGAAUUGACUUUUGAACUUAUAUUUCAAUUAAAUUUAGUUAAUUUUAUUGUAUUACACACAUAAUAUAGUUUGUGAUUAUGUCAGUUUAUGGGGAACCACUAGUGGAAAGUUAAUGAUAAUUUGUAUGCAGUUGCAUAAACAUUGGCAUAUCUCAUUUCCAUUGAGAUUAUUUGGCCCCUACCCCUCAGUCAUGGUUAGAUUUUAUUGACUUCGAAAUUUUUUGUUUAGUUUUCAUGUAUUAGUGUGUGAUUAGGUCAAUUUAUGGGGAACUACUAGUGGUAAGUUAAUGAUAAUUGAUAUCGCAUUUUUUAUAUAACACAAUAUUUUGAGAUCUCGCCACACAGGUCGACAUAAAAUAUAUCGAUAAGUAUGAUAUAACGCAACAAGUCAAUAGCAACAACAACUAAAACAGAUACCUAUACGUAAAGGUAAAUACAGAAAAGUGACUUCAAAAUUGUUAUUUUCGUGUUUAAUUAAACAAAUUUAAGUGACCAUGCACCAUUAAUAUUUUCAGAUAAAGAAAAUGGCACGUGAAGCAUGCAAUAGUCAGUUUAAAAACUUGGCCAAAGUCUAUGAACAAGAUGUGACCGAAAGUAUAAAGAAAUACCAAGUACUGAAAGAUUUAGAUUUGUUUGUCCUAGACAACUCAAUAAGAGAGAGCACAGUAGGCCAGCUUAGAGGUCACACCAUUGAAAACAAGUGGAAAGUUUAUGACGAAGUUAAAAAAUGUGGAUUUAAGCAUACAAUAGUUGCCUCCUUCAACCACAGCACUCGUGUAGAUGAUGUCUUUAUCAAACAACUCAUUGACAAAGGGGAGGAUCGUGCAGGCCUUUGGGCUUUCUCAGAAAUAACUGAAGGUCAGUUACUUGUAAAGUCGUUGUCAGUUACUUAUAAAGUCAUUGUCAGUUACUUAUAAAGUCAUUGUCAGUUACUUAUAAAGUCAUUGUUCUUAAUAUGUAUUAAAAAAAAUCAAAGUUUAACAAACAUCAUGCAAUCCAUGUGUAAUAAGAAAAGAGAUAUCACGUAGCAAUAAAAAAAACAUAAGUCAAUGGAGAAAAAAGACGGACAGAGAGACCAUGCUAAGAAAUAUUUAUUACCAGAAAAAAUUAAAGAUUGAGCAACAUACACAUCACAAAAUACGAGAUGAACUCAGUGCCACAGAAAGAUCAGCAGCUUUUUCUAUACGUCUUGUAAACUCCAACUUACUCUUUUUUUGUAAACAUUUUUUUAAAUUGUUCUUGAGCAGGAUUAAAAAAGUAAACAUCCGUUAUAUAUUUAUCCCCGUCACUUUACUCAAAAGUCAGCUCAAGCAACAAGAUCUAAAUUAGGAACAUGCUGAUUCAAUUAUAACAUCUUUAUAACUAUUUUGGCUUUAUAACUAUUAUUAUUUGAGCGUCACUGAUGAUUCUCAUGUAGACGAAACGCGCGUCUGGCGUAUAAAAUUAUAAUCCUGGUACCUUUGAUAACUAUAAAACGUUAUAUGCCUUUUUCAGCAAUAAAGAAGAAAGUUCCUGACACUGAAAGCAUACCUGUAGGAUUAAGGAAAAUGAAAGAAGCUGGUCUGUAUAACGUUAUCUUUGAAAUCGAUCUUGGUGACUCUACAUACGAUUUUGACAGAUUCACAACAAAAGAGAUGUG